RNAcentral lists this ribosomal RNA (465 nucleotides) under Microbispora sp. KK1-11. RNAcentral describes it as "bacterial SSU rRNA". It matches the Rfam family "Bacterial small subunit ribosomal RNA", at positions 338 to 795 of the family's 1533-position model. The record is from RNAcentral. Lineage: Bacteria; Bacillati; Actinomycetota; Actinomycetes; Streptosporangiales; Streptosporangiaceae.
CCUACGGGCGGCAGCAGUGGGGAAUCUUGCACAAUGGGCGAAACCCUGAUGCAGCCAUGCCGCGUGUGUGAAGAAGGCCUUCGGGUUGUAAAGAACUUUCAGUAGGGAGGAAGGUAGUGUAGUUAAAACCUGCAUUAUUUGACGUUACCUACAGAAGAAGCACCGGCUAACUCCGUGCCAGCAGCCGCGGUAAUACGGAGGGUGCGAGCGUUAAUCGGAAUUACUGGGCGUAAAGCGCAUGCAGGCGGUUUGUUAAGUCAGAUGUGAAAGCCCGGGGCUUAACCUCGGAAUGGCAUUUGAAACUGGCAGGCUAGAGUCUUGUAGAGGGGGGUAGAAUUUCAGGUGUAGCGGUGAAAUGCGUAGAUAUAGGACGGAACACUGGCCGCCACUUCGCCCCCCCGGACCGAUACCGACCCCCAGAGGCGCACGCGGAGGGCGCGGGGAGGAUUAAAUCCCCUCGUAGUC